Molecule: ribosomal RNA, 473 nt
Filed under: uncultured bacterium
Lineage: Bacteria
Description: bacterial SSU rRNA
Rfam family: Bacterial small subunit ribosomal RNA
Source: RNAcentral
GACGAACGCUGGCGGCGUGCUUAAUACAUGCAAGUCAACUGAACUUGAGAUAGCAAUAUUUUAAGGGAGGUGGCGCACGGGUGAGUAACACGUAGGUAAUCUGCCUUUAGGUCUGACACAACCCCGAGAAAUCGGGGCUAAUAUCAGAUGAUGCAGCGGCUCGACAUCGAGACAGUUGUUAAACCUUCGGGGCCUAGAGAUGAGCCUGCGUCUGAUUAGGUAGUUGGCGGAGUAAAAGCCCACCAAGCCUGCGAUCAGUAGCUGGUCUGAGAGGAUGAUCAGCCACAUUGGGACUGAGACACGGCCCAAACUCCUACGGGAGGCAGCAGUGGGGAAUAUUGGACAAUGGGCGCAAGCCUGAUCCAGCCAUGCCGCGUGAAUGAUGAAGGCCUUAGGGUUGUAAAAUUCUUUCAACGGUGAAGAUAAUGACGGUAACCGUAGAAGAAGCCCCGGCUAACUUCGUGCCAGCAGCC